UGGGGAAUUUUGGACAAUGGGCGCAAGCCUGAUCCAGCCAUUCCGCGUGCAGGAUGAAGGCCCUCGGGUUGUAAACUGCUUUUGUACGGAACGAAAAGGCUUUCUCUAAUACAGAGAGCUCAUGACGGUACCGUAAGAAUAAGCACCGGCUAACUACGUGCCAGCAGCCGCGGUAAUACGUAGGGUGCAAGCGUUAAUCGGAAUUACUGGGCGUAAAGCGUGCGCAGGCGGUGAUGUAAGACAGAUGUGAAAUCCCCGGGCUCAACCUGGGAACUGCAUUUGUGACUGCAUCGCUGGAGUGCGGCAGAGGGGGGAUGGAAUUCCGCGUGUAGCAGUGAAAUGCGUAGAUAUGCGGAGGAACACCGAUGGCGAAGGCAAUCCCCUGGGCCUGCACUGACGCUCAUGCACGAAAGCGUGGGGAGCAAACAGGAUUAGAUACCCUGGUAGUCCACGCCCUAAACGAUGUCAACUGGUUGUUGGGUCUUCACUGACUCAGUAACGAAGCUAACGCGUGAAGUUGACCGCCUGGGGAGUACGGCCGCAAGGUUGAAACUCAAAUGAAUUGAC
Molecule: ribosomal RNA, 567 nt
Filed under: uncultured bacterium
Lineage: Bacteria
Description: partial 16S ribosomal RNA
Rfam family: Bacterial small subunit ribosomal RNA
Source: RNAcentral